RNAcentral lists this small nucleolar RNA (62 nucleotides) under Pyrobaculum islandicum DSM 4184. RNAcentral describes it as "PISsR37". Lineage: Archaea; Thermoproteati; Thermoproteota; Thermoprotei; Thermoproteales; Thermoproteaceae. The record is from RNAcentral.
GUGGAGAGUUGAACCCACGCGGUAUUGAUGACGAGAGCCUGCCCAACGGUGGCGGGCGCUGA